RNAcentral lists this unclassified non-coding RNA (624 nucleotides) under Zea mays. RNAcentral's name for it is "misc RNA Zm00001eb326700". Lineage: Eukaryota; Viridiplantae; Streptophyta; Magnoliopsida; Poales; Poaceae. The record is from RNAcentral.
CUGGUAUUUAUCCCAGCCGUGUCUUCUCCCCUCUGGUCUCCUCCACCGCGCCGGCCUCUCCUGCGAGCAGCUCCUCCAGGGAGCUUCCUUCUCCCUCAACUCCCGCGGCUGUCCCUCUCCAAGCUCCCUCCCCCAGUUCCUCUGCGUGGUACUCCUUGUUCCGAGCUCACCGUGAAGCUCCACUGCUGGCGCGCCAGCGCUCUUCCUUCCCUGCGACCUGGACCUUCCCAGCUCGGCCUCUAGCUGCUGCGCGCGCUCUGCCUCCAUGGCCGCGCCCGCUGUCGCGCCCGGCCAGGCUCCUCUACACGCGCCGGAGCUUCCUCUACUCGGUCCCCUGUCGGCCUGCUCCAUCUUCCUGGCGGCGCUCAGCUCUGUCCUUUCUCCCUCUGUUCGCCCACGCGCAGGCAUGCUUCGCCGAGCUCGCCCCUGCACGUCCUGCUCUCCCCAGCUCCGCUCUGGUCGUGCGCGCUCCUCUGCUCGCCGAGGCCCCUUCUCUGUGCACUCUCCGGCCAGCCGAGGUCUCGCCAGCCACAGUUCCGCUCAAAGUUCUCUGCUCAGUUCCCUUGCGUGUGCCCUGGUGGCUGCGCGUGCUAUCCCCUGCCGAGCUCGGUACUGUCUAUCUCG